Eptesicus fuscus (big brown bat) is the source of this 238-nucleotide long non-coding RNA. RefSeq lists it as uncharacterized. Lineage: Eukaryota; Metazoa; Chordata; Mammalia; Chiroptera; Vespertilionidae. The record is from RefSeq and is a predicted model, not a curated record. The transcript has 3 exons.
AAAGAAAAAGCCCAGUUCUAUAAACGGACAGGAAUGCUGUUGUGGAGAAUAUGAGGACAUCCCAGGGCAGGUGCAGGUGCAACACAGGAUAUCACUGCCCGGCCUCAGGCUGUCUGCACGCUUUCACCCGACAACCCAGACCAAGUGAAGGAACAAAAUGGCCCCCUGAGGAAGGUCGAAAGGCCUGGGCGCCUUCAGAGGUCCCUCCCCGGCUAAGGUCUGGAGGCUUCCCAUAAGA